This 74-nucleotide transfer RNA is filed under the name Thalassoporum mexicanum PCC 7367. Its description in RNAcentral is "tRNA-Sup (TTA) (tRNA-Sup-TTA-1-1)". The record is from RNAcentral. Lineage: Bacteria; Bacillati; Cyanobacteriota; Cyanophyceae; Pseudanabaenales; Thalassoporaceae.
GCCCCCAUCGUCUAAUAGGCCAGGACACUUCCCUUUAACGGAAGAAAAGGGUGAUUCGAAUUCCCCUGGGGGUA